ACCGUAACCCAACCGUAACCGUA
Molecule: non-coding RNA, 23 nt
Filed under: Arabidopsis thaliana (thale cress)
Lineage: Eukaryota; Viridiplantae; Streptophyta; Magnoliopsida; Brassicales; Brassicaceae
Source: RNAcentral